CUCUCUCUCUCUCUCUCUCUCUCUCUCUCUCUCUCUCUCUCUCUCUCUCUCUCUCUCUCUCUCAAGUUUGGCAUCAUCUGUGCAAUCUCAUUGGGGGUGGGUGGAGGGGGGGGGCACUGAUGGCUCUUGCCACCCUUUGUUGUUUGUCUAUCUUGAUUAUUUCCUAGCACAAAAUGAAUUAUCUUGUCAAUGUGCAUCUCUUUACUCAAACAUAAGCUGGCUGCUCCAGGCUCUUCGAGUUUGCUUGAUUUUUUUUUUUUACUUCAAAGAAAAUUAUCAACUCAUUUGGGAUGGGGUUCCAAAUUUUAUAUAAUCAAUGUGGGCUUAAAUUUGUUUUACCUACAACAACUUGAUUUUGCCCAUACACAAACUAUUAAGUUUUGGGAGGGGGGGAUAUAAAUGGGACCUAUUUAGAUACAAGUCAGUUAUCUUGUAGAUAAGCGCUAUUAUGUUUUUGCUCUGGUUACUGCGUGUAUUGAUGAUUAUUAUUACGAAGACAAGGACGAUUAUCCGGAUGGUCUAUUUCAUCUUCAGUUAGCAUAAGCCAAGGGGUCUUGGGUACAAAUCUUAUUGAUAUUUUAAGGAUAAGUAAAGAAAGAAUAGACAUUCUGCUUGAGUUUUUAAAAAGACAUUUUAGAAAACAAAGGAAAUGAAACGCAAGACCCUGUAGCAAAGAAACCCAAACUAUUGUUCAACUGACAUAAUGAAUUUAAAAAAUGAAAAUGCUGCUUUGAAAGCAGUGAUGAAAAGGGAAGCUAUGAUUUCUUUUUUUUUUUUUUUUUUUACUGUAGAUAGGCAGGCCUAAAUGUCACUGGGGCUAAAAAUGUCACUGUGGACGAUUCAAGAAGGGGGAGGGGGUGCAAUUUCAGCCGAAUCCUCCUUUGCUCUUUUACCUAAAACAGAUGUGAUGGUUGAGGAUAAAUGACUGAGUCAGUAAAACUGUAGUUAUUGCCAUUGGCUAAUGGCAACAUGUGCAGGGUUUAUGUUCAAACCUUUGUAUAUCUUUACCAUGAGAAAAUUAUUAUGCAGGUUGUUGAUGGCUUUGGGUUUGGGUCAUGGUGGGAAGGGGUGGGGGGUGGGAAUGUUGACCUUGUUUUCCUUCACCGCUGCCUCUACUGGUGUUAGCUCCUCUGUGUGUCCUUCAGUGAUGAAGAAAUGUCAUCUUUUUUUACACUCUGGCCUUUUUUGCCCUUGUAUGUUUUUGAGUGAUUUUAUGAAAUCUUCCUUCGACAGAAUUUGAUGAUCAAGUUUUUCAUGAAUGUUGAUUUGAAAACUGUUAUUUUUGCUUAGUCCUACUCAAGUCUGCAAUCAGUUGUUGUUAUGUUUGGGCGUUGCUGUCGAUUAAGUCCAGACCUAGGUCUAAUUGAGGCUUUUACCCGAAUGAGUGUGCGGGGAAAGUUUGUCCAUAAGGUGUUCCACUAGGUGGUUCAGUGCGACAGUCCACUGGGUGGUUCACAUGAACUGAUCACUGUGGUUCACAUGAACUGAUCACUGUGGUUCACUUAAAUGGUUCACACUGUGUUGUUCACUUGAACUAUCCAGUGCAAUGUUCACUUAAACAGCCCAUUAUGUGGUUCACUUGAACAGCCCAUUAUGUGGUUCACUUGAACUAUCCACUGUGCUGUUCACUUGAACCUAUCAACUGUGCUGUUCACUUGAACUAUCAACUGUGCUGUUCACUUGAACUAUCCAGUGUAAUGUUCACUUGUACUAUCAACUAUGUUGUUUACUUGAACUGUCCACUGAAUUGGUCACGUAAACGCUCACUAGUUGAUUCACGAUAAAUAAUUCAGUGGACUGUUCAAGUGAAUCAUCCAUGAUGGCUCCAGUGUAUUUCAGUGAGAUUGGCGUAAACAGCCCACUGGAUGGCUCAUGUAGACGGUCUACUUGGCAGUAUGCUUGAACAGUCCACUUGGUGGUGUACUAGGUGGUCCUAGUGAUGGUGUACUAGGUGGUCCAAGUGAUGGUGUACUAGGUGGUCCAAGUGAUGGUGUUUGGUCUGUCCUGUAAGGUGAUCCACUAGGUUUGUCCACUUAGACACUCCACUGGAAAAAAAACUUGUUCAGACAGGGGUCCACAUGUAAUAAGCUCUUGUAGAAGAAAAAAAACUGUACUAGAUGGUAGACUUGGUCUGGAAUCCAUUAUUUUAAAUUGCCCUUGAAAUUGUUUAAUAAACCUUGCUUACAACAAACUAAAA
This 2197-nucleotide long non-coding RNA is filed under the name Aplysia californica (California sea hare). Its description in RNAcentral is "uncharacterized LOC106012200". Lineage: Eukaryota; Metazoa; Mollusca; Gastropoda; Aplysiida; Aplysiidae. The record is from RNAcentral.